This 783-nucleotide ribosomal RNA is filed under the name uncultured archaeon. RNAcentral's name for it is "bacterial SSU rRNA". It matches the Rfam family "Archaeal small subunit ribosomal RNA", at positions 541 to 1322 of the family's 1478-position model. The record is from RNAcentral.
CUGGUAAAAUCAGGUAGCUUAACUAUCUGCAUGCUAGGAAUACUGUUAUACUAGAGGACGGGAGAGGUCUGAGGUACUACAGGGGUAGGGGUGAAACCUUAUAAUCCUUGUAGGACCACCAGUGGCGAAGGCGUCAGACUGGAACGUGCCUGACGGUGAGGGACGAAAGCCAGGGGAGCGAACCGGAUUAGAUACCCGGGUAGUCCUGGCCGUAAACGAUGCAUACUAGGUGAUGGCGUGGCCAUGAGCCGUGUCAGUGCCGUAGGGAAACCGUUAAGUGUGCCGCCUGGGAAGUACGGUCGCAAGGCUAAAACUUAAAGGAAUUGGCGGGGGAGCACCACAAGGGGUGAAGCCUGCGGUUCAAUUGGACUCAACGCCGGGAAACUUACCAGGGGAGACAGCAGAAUGAUGGUCAGGUUGACGACGCUUACCUAACGAGCUGAGAGGAGGUGCAUGGCCGUCGCCAGUUCGUGCCGUGAGGUAUCCUGUUAAGUCAGGCAACGAACGAGAUCCGCGCCUUUAUUUGCCAGCAAGAAGUCGCGACUUCGUUGGGAACACUAAAGGGACCGCCGUCGAUAAGACGGAGGAAGGAGCGGGCAAAGGCAGGUCAGUAUGCCCCGAAACCCCUGGGCUACACGCGGGCUGCAAUGGUAUGAACAAUGGGCUGUAACUCCGAAAGAAGAAACCAAUCCCGAAAUCAUAUCUCAGUGGGGAUUGUCGGCUGUAACCCGCUGACAUGAACGUGGAAUCCCUAGUAAUCGUGUGUCAUCAUCGCGCGGUGAA